GGAAGGGUCGUUUUGGCUGAGGAGAGACUUGGGUGUCCGACCGAGCCUGUUUGCGCCGCAGCUGCCUUCGGAAAGGUCCUCGGCAAGGCGCAUCCCCUGCAAUGUCAUUUACGAGAACGAGGUGGUAGCCGCAGCUUUUCUCCGUGAGCGGUUCCCCCCCGCCUGCUCCGGUUCCUUUGCUGUUCCCUUUGUCUUCCUUUCCUGUUCCCCUCCCCCCGCGCUCGCAAGCACCCUGAGCUGAGGUCUGGGUGCGCGGUGUUCGGGAGCGCGGCAGGGCGGGUGCCGUCGUUGCUGCUGUGCCUCGCGUCCUAUAACCUUUCACCCCAACUCCGAUGCUUUUCCUAGUCAUGCCGAAGGAGCCGAUUAUGAGGUUAUCUGAAGCAGAAGAUUGUGGUGAUUCUCUUCUUGGUCCUUUAAUGAUUAUUGUCGAGAAGCGUGCUGCUCACCUGGGCCUGACCAAGGGAUUCGGGACAGUUGUGGAUGAAGGGCCCGAGGGUGGGCGGUCUGUCUGUCACGUACAUCUACAUAUUCUGGGUGGCGGUCAGUCGGGCUGUCCGCCCAGCUAAGAGUUUUGCACCACGAGAGUUGCCACACGUGUACAAAUGGCCACCGAAUGGUCUUUUGUCUGUUGCCCGUUGUCAAUCUAGGCACUGUUGAGGUGUGAUGUUUUGUGGCAUGUGUCUGUGGAAGGUAACGGAAGCUUUGAGCGGCAAUUACACAAUAAAGAUAGAGGAUGGGGAUAUCAUGUCUGUCUCGUGCGUUUUGCUGGGGGAAAUAGUUCCCCGAGUUGAACUGGUGCCUCCCCGGAGUGUAAGUAUGUGGAACGUUUCGUCCUGUUAACAGCGUUCUGUGUAUAGGUAGUGAUUUGCCCGAUCAUUUGAAGCGUGAUGCUGGAACCGCUUAGCAGUGUCCUGGGUCUUGUAGGAAGCAAAUUCUUAGCUUUUUGGAAGUGGUACGCAAACGUACGUAAAGGCGGUGCGUAGAGGUUGCUGCUGCUGCUUAGACUUUGGAAAA
This is a long non-coding RNA of Calypte anna (Anna's hummingbird), 1014 nucleotides long. RefSeq lists it as uncharacterized. The record is from RefSeq and is a predicted model, not a curated record. Lineage: Eukaryota; Metazoa; Chordata; Aves; Apodiformes; Trochilidae. The transcript is spliced from 3 exons.